RNAcentral lists this long non-coding RNA (690 nucleotides) under Homo sapiens (human). RNAcentral's name for it is "HSALNT0309410". Lineage: Eukaryota; Metazoa; Chordata; Mammalia; Primates; Hominidae. The record is from RNAcentral.
CCACGGUCUUUUACAUAUAUAUGUGUGUGUGUGUAUACACAUAUAUAUGUGUGUGUAUACACAUAUAUAUGUGUGUGUAUACACAUAUAUGCGUGUGUGUAUACACUUGUGUGUAUACACAUAUAUGCGUGUGUGUAUACACAUAUAUGUGUGUGUAUACACAUAUACAUAUGUGUUCACAUAUACAUAUUUUAGAAGCUUUAGCUAAUGCAAUAGGACAUGAAAAUAAAAUAAUUGGUAGGAAUACUAAAAUAGUGUACAAUAUGUUCUAUAAUUAUAUAUGUAGGAAACCUAUAGACCUAAUAAAAUUCAUAAGAACUAGAAAAAGAAUUUACCAAGGAGUAUAUAUUAGUCCAUUUUCACACUGCUAUAAAGAACUGCUCGAGACUGGGUAAUUUAUAAAGGAAAGAGGUUUAAUUGACUUACAGUUCAGUGUGGCUGGAUAGGCCUCAAGAAACUUACAAUCAUGGUGGAAGGCGAAGGGGAACCAAGGCACCUUCUUCACAAGGCAGCAGGAAGGAGAAGUGCCAGGUGAAGGCGGAAGAGGCCCUUAUACCAUCAGAUCUCAUGAGAACAGAAUGGGUGAAAUUGCCCCAUGAUUCAAUUACCUCCAUCUGGUCUCUCCCUUAACACCUGGAGAUUACGGGGAUUACAAUUCAAGAUGAGAUUUUGGGUGGGGACACAGCAAAA